Molecule: small nucleolar RNA, 148 nt
Organism: Mastomys coucha (southern multimammate mouse)
Lineage: Eukaryota; Metazoa; Chordata; Mammalia; Rodentia; Muridae
Product: small nucleolar RNA SNORA48
Exons: 1
Source: RefSeq, a predicted model, not a curated record
CCCUCCCAGCAAUGGGCAAAGAGACAACUUGUUGGUGGUGUUGCUCUUAUAUCCGUCAGGAGCAGAGCAAACGGCAGUCCUUUCUUCAUCCUAGCUUGGUGCCUGGUUUGGUGGCCAAAGCUGUGUUAUAUAUACCUAGGGCUCAUAA